AUGUAUCAACUUCUUUAGUUGGAUGUGGGGGUUUUGCUGGCCCUUUCUAAUGGUCAGCUCCCCUGAAAUACAUUAGCGGAACAAUUUGUUGACUUUUUCAUUAGUGUGAUAAUUAUCUGCGCUAUUGAAUUGUGAAGCAAGUUCAGCUUCUAAUAGUCCAUUGACUUGGACAUUUUUUCCAUUUA
Molecule: unclassified non-coding RNA, 185 nt
Filed under: Cortinarius delibutus
Lineage: Eukaryota; Fungi; Basidiomycota; Agaricomycetes; Agaricales; Cortinariaceae
Description: partial internal transcribed spacer 2
Source: RNAcentral